AGAUCUUGGUGCGGACAUUUUCUUUGGUUAUCUAGCUGUAUGAGUUUUGUUCGACAUCAUAAAGCUAGAUUACCGGAGUUAAGCUUAGUAGACUUCUAAUCUUAUUAAGA
RNAcentral lists this microRNA precursor (110 nucleotides) under Polistes canadensis. RNAcentral's name for it is "microRNA pca-mir-9 precursor". Its record names the gene pca-mir-9. The stretch from base 12 to 88 matches the Rfam family "mir-9/mir-79 microRNA precursor family". From Rfam's summary of the family: The mature ~21nt miRNAs are processed from hairpin precursor sequences represented here. miR-9 is processed from the 5' arm of its precursor, and miR-79 from the 3' arm. The bounds of the precursors are predicted based on conservation and base pairing and are not generally known. Lineage: Eukaryota; Metazoa; Arthropoda; Insecta; Hymenoptera; Vespidae. The record is from miRBase by way of RNAcentral.